This is a long non-coding RNA of Humulus lupulus (European hop), 8488 nucleotides long. RefSeq lists it as uncharacterized. The record is from RefSeq and is a predicted model, not a curated record. The transcript is spliced from 3 exons. Lineage: Eukaryota; Viridiplantae; Streptophyta; Magnoliopsida; Rosales; Cannabaceae.
UCUGAGGCAGUACAGAAUGAAAUUGAACCCCUUGAAAUGCUCCUUUGGAGUGGGUUUGGGUAAAUUUUUGGGGUUUAUAGUGAACUCCAGGGGAAUAGAAGCAAACCCCGAGAAAAUAAAAGUGUUGCUGGACAUGCAUUCACCAGCCAGGAUCACAGACGUGCAAAGCCUGACAGAGCGUAUAUCAACAUUGAGCAGGUUUGUAUCCAAAUCUACUUAUAAGUGCAUUCCAAUUUUUAAUAUCCUCAGGGGAACCAAGAAAUUUGAAUGGACCGAGGAGUGCGAACAAGCCUUCCAAGCUCUAAAACAGUAGUUGGCACAACCCCCGAUCCUUUCAAAACCCCUGGAAGGUGAAGAGCUGUGCAUAUACCUGGUUGGCAGUAACGGAACAUGCUAUCAAUGCAGUCCUGGUGAGAGAGGAAGACAAAGGCUAACACCCAGUCUACUAUGUUAGUAAAAGGCUGAUCGAGGCAGAAAGCAGGUAUCCUGUGAUUGAAAAAUUAACUUACUGCCUGCUCAUGUCUUCCAGAAAACUUCGCCCAUACUUCCAAUCUCAUCCCAUUAAAGUCCUUACCGACCAACCAUUGUGCCAAGUCCUGCAAAAGGCAGACACCUCUGGUCGGCUACUAAAAUGGUCUAUAGAGCUGGGGUAGAAUGAGAUCACCUACCAGCCUCGAACAACAAUUAAAGGUCAGGCUCUAGUAGACUUUGUAGCUGAGUGUACCGGUGUACCAGAACCAAAUGAGGAAAUGGCCGAGCAGCCAUUAGAAUCUGGACCACUGCCCAGUACAAGCACUGAGCAGAACACCGAAUAACCAGAGUCUAGUAUUAUCCAUUCUGAGAAUGAAUCACAAGUCUGGAAGCUGCAUGUCGAUGACUCGUUUACCGAACAACUAUCCGGGGAAGGUCUUACACUAAUAAUGCUUGAAGGGCAACACAUCCAUUGUUCACUCCAUUUUGGGUUUAAUGCAUCUAAUAACGAAGUGGAGUAUGAAGCAUUAAUUGUGGGCCUGAAGUUAGCAAAAGAAGUGAAGGCUGAAUUCUUCGAUAUAUAUAGUGAUUCGCAGCUUGUUGUCAAUCAAGUCCUAAGUGAGUACACUGCUCGGAAAGAAAAAAUGAUGGCCUAUCUUAUUAAGAUCAAGGACCAGCUUGCUCAAUUCAAGAAAUACACCAUCCAAUAGAGUAGAACGCCACAUCAGAUGUGUAACGCCCUACUUCAUUAGAGCCAUUACUAAGUGAGUUUUAAAUGUGCAAUUAACUCGCUAAUCGAGGUUUUAGGUUAAAAGUGUAGCUAAACUGUAAUAAAAGCCAUAUAAUUUGAAAACGUACUCAUUCAUUGAAAUUAUAAAGUGUUAUACAUUUGGGAUCCCGAAAUUACUAUUUAGAAAUAUUGACAACUCAAAAUAUGAUUUAAGUCAACUAAACGACAAAACUUUGAUUAAUACAUAAUGUCUCCCAAAAAUACCCCUGGCCGUGGCAGCCAGGCAGGCCAAACAUGUACACGUCGCUUCACGCUCUCCGUACUCAUGGUUGGUCGACCUUUCCCUUGCCCUUACCUGCACCAUAGAGCACCCAUGAGCCGAAGCCCAGCAAGAAAACUCAACACAAAUAAUCAACAUAUACAUAUCCAGCAACUAGCAUAUAACAAAGCCACCAACCGGCUAAACAUAUAGCGGCCAUGCCGUCCCAGGCGCUUUACCAGGCCCUGGGUUCGUCGUCUAUACCGUGAGGAUGACUCAUGCAUCCGAGAAGGAUCUCACCCUAAACGGCUUAAACUCCAUGUGCUUAAUGUCGCUCCCAGCCCCUUGCAUACUCGGCCUUGCACUCCACGUGCUUAACGCCGUUCCCGGUCCCUUGCCAUACCCGGCUUCCUGAUGCCUGUACGGUUGUUCAAUUCUAUCUUUUCUUCUUAUUAUUCUUUUUUGACUUUCAUUAUGUGAGAUAAAAUAAUUUUUGAUUAUGUUAUAUCAUCAAUGUAAUGAUCCAUCAACCUGCUAGUUCUUUUUAUGCAUGGGUCUUGGUCGGGGGCUUCGACGACCUAUAGAGAAUGGGGUGGCUCUCAAACUGAAACACAUGUGGUAGGGUCUCUCUUUGUGUGCAUACCAACCCGAGUUGGAUCAAUGAGGAUGGUCUGAUCUGACCUCUCAAUCGUGGUCGUCGGUCAUUCACAAAUAAGCAUACAUAGCAUAACAUCAAUAACUACUUAAACAUGUACCAAACAUAAACGCCCUGCAACUCAAUCACAUAGGGUCGUGACCUGCAAUACAAACUAUAGGGCCACACCUUGCUCUACGAGUACAACAGUUUUCUUACUUGUGUCUCGAGCUUCUUAAGCACUGAAAUCCCGAGCACAGUCCUCUAACCCGAGCCUCGCUGAAAAACCUUAAGUAGGAAUUCGACCUGAGAUGCUUUAAAAUCCAUUUCCAAGCUCAAAUCCACAAAUUCGUAAGCUUAAGCUUCACAAAAACCUUGAUCUUAACUAAGCCUCUGAACACUUGGAAUUUCUAGCCUAAAAUCCUUCAAAAUCAAGCUCUAUGGUGAGAGAGAGAGAGAGAGAGAGAGAGAGAGAGAGAGAGAGAGAGAGAGAGAGAGAGAGAGAGAGAGAGAAUCGAAUUGGAGAGUGAGCUGAGAGAAAUUGAUCCUUUUCCUUCCUUUCCUCUGUUUUGUCUAGGUGCCUCUAGAAUUCCCAGCUCCCACUGAGUAUAUCCACUUGCCAAAAUGACUGAAUUGCCCCCUUAAGUUAACCUAAGUCCUCAAAUAUCACCACGGGUAGUUUAGUCAUUUAACAUAUCCCGUUAAGUCCUCGAGCACACCUAAAAAUCCCGUCAUACUCAAUUCAUUACUAAAUUACUACCCGAUACUUAAUAAAUCCCAAACUCAUAUUAUAUACCCAAAAUACCCCUAGGCUCCUCCUGAACCGGGUAUUUGACCCAGUUGUGACUUUCCAUCUAAACUGCUCCCUAGGACCGUCUCGGAUCGUGCAUCACAAUUAUAUCACCACUCACACGUGGUGCCAAUCACAAUAUACACAAAUAUUUCAUUUAUGCCCUCAACGGGCUAAAAUUACAAACAUGCCCCUAAUAACCAAAUGGGGCCCACAUGCAAAUUUAAUUCACCUAAACAUGCAUUUCUAAUCACAUACUUAUCAAAUUCACAUAUUAACAUAAUAAAUCAAUUAUUGCCCUCUAGGCAUUCUAAUCAAGGCCCUAAGCCUUAUUAGCAAAUUUGGGACGCUACAAGAUGCACUGGCCAGAUUGGCCAGCAGUGCUGUGGUGGACAAGGCCAACCUGGUUCCUAUUGAGUACGUGGCCAAACCCAGUAUCAACCUGCCAGAACCAGUCCUUCUAAUAGACAACACUCCAUCCUAGAUGAUCCCAAUUGCAGCCUAUCUAGAGCAAGGAACCCUUCCUACCAACCGUAAUGAGUCUAGAAAACUAAUAGGAAAGCUGGUCGGUACUUAAUCCUGGAUGGGGUUAUGUACAGAAGGGGAUUUUCCAUGCCAUUGCUAUGAUGUGUCAACCAAACAUAAUCAGGACAAAUGCUGGAGGAGGUACAUGAGGGUUUUUGUGGAAAUCAUGCUGGAGGGCAAAGUCUGUCUAAGAAGAUUUUAAGGCAAGGCUACUUCUGGCCAACUAUGAAUGAAGAUGCCUUUGCAUAUGUCCGAAGAUGUGACAAGUGUCAAAGAUUUGCUAAGACACCCCGAGCAGCCUCAAAUGAGCUUACUCAAAUGCAGAGUCCAUGGCCCUUCGCCAUUUGGGGAAUUGACCUUAUUGGUCGGUUACCAAAGGGAAAUGGGGGAGUACAGUAUGCAGUAGUGACAGUUGAUUACUUCACCAAGUGGAUGGAAGCCGAGCCACUGGCUACCAUCACUUCCAAAAAAGUACUGGACUUUGUGGAGAAAAAUAUAAUCUGUCGGUUUGGUCUAUCCCAGAAGAUAUUGUUCGACAAUGGCACCCAGUUUGACAACCAACUGUUCACUGUUUUGUGUGCCAAGCAUGGCAUUACAAAAAUAUUUUCAGCAGUCUCGCACCCUCAAGCAAAUGGGCAGGUAGAAGUAGUUAAUAAGACUCUCAAAGACACUCUGAAAAAGCGUUUAGAAGAGGCUAAAUGAAACUGGUCUGAGAGAUUGCCUAAAGUACUAUGGUCAUACAGGACUACCGAGCGAACAACCACUGGUGAUACCCCCCUUUGCACUCACAUAUGGGUAUGUAGCAAUGCUACCAGUUGAGGUGACUCCCCAAUCUCAUCGGUGUACGACAUAUGACCAAGAUCAUAACCACUAGCUGCUAGCUGAAUCCUUAGACCAAAUUGAAGAAAGACGCGAAAGGUCCAACAUACGCCUGGCUGCCCAUCAGCAAAAGGUUGCCCAGUACUUCAAUUCCAAAGUUAAGGAACGAAAGUUUGACAUGGGAGAUCUAGUCCUGCAAAGAAUAUUCCCAGAAACUCGAGAUGCCUCGGCAGGAGUAAUAGGUCCAAGCUGGUAGGGGUGCACACGGGACCCGCAAAACCCGAAAACCCGAACCCGGAGAACCCAUUUUUUUUCGAAAAAACUGACAAAAUCGAGUCUAACCCGACUCGAACCCGAAAAAAUCGGGCCGGGUUCGGGUUUAUGAGACAUGUGCCGUCGGGUUCGGGUGUAACCCGAAACCCAACAGAAAUUAAAAAAAAAAAAAAAAAAAAAUCUGAAAAAAAUCUGAGCCCUAAAGUAACUAAGUACUAACCCGACCCCUUUUUUUUUUGGUCUUCUUCUCCUUCGUUUCAUUCAAGCGGCAGCCUCCCUCUUGAUUCAAGAGUCUUGAAUUUCAAGCUUCGGCACAGUAGCAGGAGAGAAGAGAGCCCAUCCGAGUGCCACUGCCGACCCGACCCAUCGAGACGAGAGCCCGGAGCCUCCCUCACCCUCAGCUCUCAUGCGGUGGCACCACCAGAUCGCACGGCCACCAACAGCGGCGCGGCACACCUCGCCUCGCCAGCAGCGGUCCGGAAAGCACGGCUAUAUAUAUUUACAUUUAGUAUAUAUAUAUAUAUGUUAGGCAGUUUUGUUUUGGUUGGAAAUAAGGGCAAGUCUUGUACACAAAAGUCAUACUGAAUGAAACUAUGUACAAGACUGAAACUAUGUUAGGCAGUUUUGUUAUUCUUGAUGGUGCAGAUUUGGGAAGAAAAAUUUUGCAUGACUACUUAUGAUGUGUUUCUUAAUUUCUAUUUCCUUUUUUAAUUUUUACCUUGGGAUAAAUUGGCAAUGUGGGUUCAGUUUGAAAUUUCGGUUUCCGAAAUCCAGCUUCAAGAUCUUCUGCUGCAAUAUUAAAAUCAGAGAUUUUGUUAUACAAUUUUUUAGUUCAACUUUUGUCAGGCAAUGAACAUAUGAUGCAAUAAUAAGGACCAAUGACUAAAACUUUAUUGUAUGCGAUGGUCAAAAGUAUAUUUUUUGUGUGUAUCAGUGUGUGUUUUGUUCAUAAUCAAAACAAGGGUCAAAUUGUUUCAUCAGUUUAAAAUUCAGUCCGAGCUUGAACAGAGACCAAGGGAACUCAUAAAACUUCUACUUGUGUGAUAAAUUACUGAUAUGCUUUAAACUAGUUUCAUAUGUCGUAAGAACGUGUGUGAAGAGUAUUAUUAUUUUAUCUUUUUUAGAACUUACUAGUGAGAAAAGAAGAACUCUUUUUAUGAUUUAAAUUUAGACCAAUCUAAAGUUUCCACACUUGCUUCUAAAUCUUUGUAUUCAUAACAGUAUUGUGAUUAUUACUUCUUCUUUUGUCUAGCAAUAACAAUUACUUGAAUUUCCAUUGAUUUGUUAGGUAAUGGAUAUUGAUGAGGUAGAUGAAACUCUUCCCCCAAUAGAUGAUCAAGAUCAACCACCUCUCACUCAAACUGAAAACCCUACUCCUCUUACUGAUCAGGGUAGAAAAACUAGAGCUAGAAAGAGGGUUAGACCUCCCCCCAUCCCUAGUGCUAGUAGUACCGGGAAAACAAAGGGAAAAGGGUCAUCUAUUUGGGAUCAUUUUACUAAGGAAGAUCCUCCUCCACCCUCGACAGAUCCUAACGAAGAGUCUCCUCCCCCCAAGUGCAUAUGUAAUUAUUGUGGGUCUAACUUCUUGUGUGUCAGUAGAAAACAUGGGACCAGUCAUUUGUGGAACCAUUUUAAGAAAGUAUGCGACCUAAGUCCGUAUAAGAUUGAUGAGCAGAGACAAAAGACUUUAAGCUUUCAACAUGUAAAGGGAGUGAAAGAGGGGGAGACAAGCUUAGUAGUGGUAGCUUAUAACAAAGAAGCUUGUAGGGUAGCCCUCACACAAUAUAUUGUGUUGGAUGAGUUGCCAUUUAGACAUGUCGAGGGUGAAGGGUUCAAAAGAUUUGUCAAAACACUCCAACCUAGGUUUGAGAUCCCUUCUCGAAUGACUGUUGCUAGAGAUGUAUUGAAGUUAUAUAAGGAGAAGAAGGGAACAUUGAAAAAUAUUUUGAGCCGUGAGAGGAUAUCGAUUACUACCGAUACUUGGACUUCCAUUCAAAAUUUGAAUUACAUGGCCAUCACUGCUCAUUGGAUUGAUAAUUCUUGAGAGUAUCAGAAAAUAAUUAUCAAUUUUUGCCAAGUGGUAGAUCAUAAAGGGGAAACCAUUGGCCAUGAGAUCGACUUAUGUCUUUUAGAUUGGGGCAUCUCUAAGUUGUUUACCAUUAUGGUAGACAAUGCUUUGUCUAAGGAUGUUGCCAUUAGAUACUUGAGGCAACAAUUCAAGGAGAAAGAGAGAGGCCUAAUUUUGGAUGGAAAGUUUUUACAUAUGAGGUGUUGCGCUCAUAUUGUGAACCUAAUUGUCACUAAAGGGCUGAAGGAAAAAUAUGGGUCAAUUGCAGCAAUUAGAAAUGCUGUGAGGUUCGUUAGGUCUUCUCCUGCUAGGCUAAAAUUUUUUAAGGAGCGUGUCAUGCAGGAAAAGAUUGAAUGUAAAGGGCUUGUGUGUUUAGAUUUCCCAACAAGAUGGAACUCCACAUAUCUUAUGCUCAAUUGUGCAAUGAAAUUUCGGAAGGCAUUUGACAGGAUGAAAAGAGAUGCUAAUUAUAUGAAAUAUUUUGAUGAGGUUGACAAAGAUGGAAUACCAAAGGAGGGGCCCCCCACUGUUGAUGAUUGGGAAAAUGCUACAGUGUUUUUGAGGUUUUUGGAGACUUUUUACGAAGUAACAUUAAAGUUUAGUGGGUCUACUUAUGUUACUGCUAAUAAGUACUUCAUUGAGAUCUCCAAUAUGCAACAAGAGUUGUGUGACUUAGUAGCUGACGAUGAUGAGAAUGAGUUAUUGAGGACAAUGGCAAUGAGCAUGAAACUAAAGUAUGACAAGUAUUGGGGAAAACUCGAUAAUUGCAAUGAGGCACUUCUAAUUGCCUUGGUCCUUGACCCAAGAUACAAGCUUGAAUAUCUCAAUCAUUGCUUUAGUGCUACUUAUGAUGAGAUGACGUGCAAAGAGACGGUGAAAAAGGUAGAGAAGACAAUGCGGGCAAUGUUUAAUCAAUAUAAUGAGACAACAUCAAGUCUUCAUCCAUCGGCAUCAAUGACUUAGCUACAAUCAACCUCUAUUGUUAGUUCUUCAUCCACAUUCAUCAUGCCUGUUAGUGGUCGACCUAGUGCCAACAAGAAGUCACGAAAUUUGCAUGAUGAGUUUGUGGCACGGAGAUUGGAGAAGGAUGAUGGAGUGACAAAAAAUGAGGUCGAUAAAUAUUUGGAAGAGGAACCUGAGCGACCAACUGAGAAUUUUGAUGUUUUGGGAUGGUGGGCUAGUAGUGGGUGCAAGUACAAGAUCUUGUCACUCAUGGCUCGUGAUGUGUUAGCUAUACCGGUUACCACCGUUGCUUCUGAGACGGCAUUUUCUAUAGGAGGUCGAAUUUUAGAUCCUUUUAGAAGCUCACUAAGCCCAAGGAUGGUCGAAGCAUUAAUUUGUCUCAAUAACUGGUGGAGCGGAUCACAUCAACCCAUCAUUGUUCGAGACUAUAUGGAUGAAGAAGAAGCACUUCAAACAUCAGAGUAUCUUGAGUCAGAGAUGACCAAUGAUCCUACAAGUGCUGGGCCUGAGCCAGCUUCAUCCUCUGUCAAUUUUCAGUCUUCAGCCUCAUCUGCUGCACAACAAUCUAUAAAUUAAAAGAAUUGCAAUUGCUUGAAUGAAGGAAAGGAAGGAAGGAAAGGAAAGAAUGAAAGGGCAUGGACUUUUCAUGUAUUUUGAAUUUUUAUAGACUUAAUUUAAUGUUUAUGGUUGUAGACGACUUAUGGACUUUAUUUUGGUUUUGUGGUUAACUAGUUAUGUACUUAAGUUUAUGGAUUUUAUCGUUGUUUAUUUAUGGUUGUAUUUUGGGACUUUGACAUUUUUAAUGUUUGUUUUGUAAUUGAUAAUUUGAACUUUAUUUGUAUUUUAAGUGUUUGAUUUGAUUGACAUUAUAUUUUAACUUCUUUUUUCUUUUCUUAUUUUUUUUUAAAUUAAAGGAUGUAUAAUAACAUAGUUUAAAUGAUAAAACAUUUUGAAAA